Molecule: ribosomal RNA, 550 nt
Filed under: Salmonella enterica subsp. enterica serovar Derby
Lineage: Bacteria; Pseudomonadati; Pseudomonadota; Gammaproteobacteria; Enterobacterales; Enterobacteriaceae
Also listed under: 3 other names
Description: partial 23S ribosomal RNA
Rfam family: Bacterial large subunit ribosomal RNA
Source: RNAcentral
AGACCCGAAACCCGGUGAUCUAGCCAUGGGCAGGUUGAAGGUUGGGUAACACUAACUGGAGGACCGAACCGACUAAUGUUGAAAAAUUAGCGGAUGACCUGUGGCUGGGGGUGAAAGGCCAAUCAAACCGGGAGAUAGCUGGUUCUCCCCGAAAGCUAUUUAGGUAGCGCCUCGUGAAUUCAUCUCCGGGGGUAGAGCACUGUUUCGGCUAGGGGGCCAUCCCGGCUUACCAACCCGAUGCAAACUGCGAAUACCGGAGAAUGUUAUCACGGGAGACACACGGCGGGUGCUAACGUCCGUCGUGAAGAGGGAAACAACCCAGACCGCCAGCUAAGGUCCCAAAGUCAUGGUUAAGUGGGAAACGAUGUGGGAAGGCCCAGACAGCCAGGAUGUUGGCUUAGAAGCAGCCAUCAUUUAAAGAAAGCGUAAUAGCUCACUGGUCGAGUCGGCCUGCGCGGAAGAUGUAACGGGGCUAAACCAUGCACCGAAGCUGCGGCAGCGACACUCAGGUGUUGUUGGGUAGGGGAGCGUUCUGUAAGCCUGUGAAGGU